UGGACAGCUCCCAGCAGCUAGGAGUCUGUGAGCUCUCAUCCUGUGCUGCACUCUGUGCUAGCCACUUUGCAUGAGUUCUCUAACUCCACCAGUUUGCAGGACAUUUGCUAUGCUGGCCUCGCUACUCCAGGCAUGCUCAACACACUCCCACCUGCUCAUAUGACUCCCUAAAUCCACUGCUUGGAACUGAGCCCCACCCUCCACGUCUAGCCUGUGCCAUGCAGAGCAAGGCAGGCUCCCUGACCCACCAAGACUCUUCCAAGAAUAGAACCCCAAGUCACUUGGUUUCUUUGGCAGCUGAGGAUCUGCCUCAGCCUAGAAGCCUGGAUGUAGCCACCCGUGGGUCAGAAGCAAAGAGGGUAAGUCAAAGUUGGGAACCCAGGGUGCCAGAGGAGUAACCGACGGCUCAGCCCCAGCCUCCACUCUCGACAGCUGUGGGCUCCACCAUCUGCAGCAGAGUGGGGGCCUCUUUGGCUCCAGUCCCACCUCCCAACUUUCCUUAUGAAAUGGGGAAAUGCAAAUCUGGAAACACCUGAAGAUUGCUGACCAAGCAUUGUGCAAGCAGGCCAACCCAAACCUGAAACCCAGAGAGCACUUACCAAGAAAGGAAGUACUGAUGGAGCACACAGAAGAGUGAGUCGACAUCCAGGGGCAGUCUGGAAGACUUCCUAGAGAACAGCUUGGGGCAAAUCCUGUCACCAAGUAGAAACCAGUGCUGUAAGAACAUGGAGGAUGAUCAGGUGAGCUCUGACAUCCAGGAGGAUUCAUCACAGCAAACCUUGAAAGAUGGAUGAGAUUUUCAGAGGGUGAACGUGGAAGAAGGGGAAAGCAUUUCGCUCCUCACCUAUUUUGCUGGACUUUCUCCCAUCUCUCUCUCUUUUUUAAAAGUCCAUGGAUCAAAACUGAGAUGCCAGCUCCCAGUUAGGACAAGCCCAGUGUGGAGGACAGAGCUGGGGAUUGCUUCUUGGCCUUUGCGUGGCCCACGUCUACUAAUGCUCCUGGCGGCACACUGCCUUCCCCGCAUCAGGGCACGUGUGCAGCUGUGAUCAGUGAAAAGCCGCUCCAACCACCACCCUCAUCUCCAAACAAUAAAGCUUCAUUGGUGAAGGCAUUUGAGAAUUACAGUGGCUUGUUAAUCUCACGUCAGUCAUCCCUAUCUUAUUGAAUUUAAGAAGAAGGGAAACUCAACACUGCUCAAGAGCAGUCCCUCUAAAUAUAAAUGUUUACCUCAAGGCAUUGCACUUCUUUCAAAACACUCUCUUCCCAUUCCUGUCCUUGCCAUUUCACUCCCUGUCCACCUCAUGGGAGUUCACCCCCUCUCACUUCCUGCCCAACCCAAGCCUGGUAUGGACAUUUUCUAUAACUAAAUUAGUCUUUAGAUGUCUCUAGCUGUAUUUGUUUUCUUCUCCUACCUUUUUUCUUUUCCUUUCCUACUCUUUCAUGUCAGACUUAAUUAAUCAAUAAACUUUUAUUGAGCAUUUCCUAAGUGCUGGGUUCAAUCAGGGAAUAUAUAGACAAACCCAGGGGCUAGUCCUGGUCCUGAAGCCCUUAUGAUCUAACUGAUGAGACGAGGACAAACGGAGGUAGGUAAAGAUCAUGUGGCGUUAGCUGGCAUGGUGGUGUUGGUAUAAACCAAGGGCUUGGGUGGUUAGGGCUUCACACUUCAAGGAGGGGAGACUUCCACACGGGGCGGUGGAUAGAAUCUGGAACUACAGGGACUUUGUGACUGGCCAUAACUGAAGACUUGCGUGUACCAAGCAGUAUGCCAAG
RNAcentral lists this long non-coding RNA (1770 nucleotides) under Equus caballus (horse). RNAcentral describes it as "lncRNA (ENSECAG00000032421.2)". The record is from RNAcentral. Lineage: Eukaryota; Metazoa; Chordata; Mammalia; Perissodactyla; Equidae.